RNAcentral lists this unclassified non-coding RNA (7033 nucleotides) under Dimorphilus gyrociliatus. RNAcentral's name for it is "dgyrCDS12609". Lineage: Eukaryota; Metazoa; Annelida; Polychaeta; Dinophilidae. The record is from RNAcentral.
AGUGCGUUUCCGAUAGGUGGCGUUGUUUUGAGAUUACAACGCCAAUUCUCUGCAUCAUCGCUCAUAUCCGAUUCUUAGAUAUAUUCGAACAAAAAUUGGUCGGUAAUCUUCGCCUUUGGUAGCUAUAAUAUUUAAGAAAUUCAAGGAAUAUUUGGAUGUAGUACCUUUUCACAACUUUCAAUUAUGGAAGCUAUAAAUGAUCAUAAACAUUUGGUAAAUGGCGAAUCUGAUUCAGGUUCGAGAAUGCAGUCGCCUACGGCUGAUAGAGUCAGUAGUUUUUUAAAAGCUGCUCGUAACGGUAAUUUGGAGAAAGUAAUUGUCUAUUUAGACAGUGGAAUAGAUGUCGACAUAAGUAAUAACACCGGAUUAAACGCACUUCACCUUGCUUCAAAGGAAGGUUACUCUGCCGUUGUUGAAGAGCUUUUAAACCGCAAGGCUAAUCUAGAUGCCCCUACGAGAAAAGGAAAUACGCCCCUGCAUAUUGCUUCCCUCGCCGGUAAACAUAAUAUUGUGGAGACACUCCUGCGAAAUGGAGCCAAAGUGAAUGUUCAAUCUCAAAAUGGAUUUACUCCUCUAUAUAUGGCAGCCCAAGAAAAUCAUGCGGCUGUCGUUGCCCUACUUCUUCAAAAUGGGGCCAGUCCUACUCUCACAACAGACAAUGGCUUUACGCCCCUAUCUAUUGCUUUGCAACAAGGACAUAAAAAAGUGGUCGAAGAACUCAUUCAAACCGACAGAUCACGUAAAGUGAAAUUGCCAUCUUUACACUUGGCGGCAAAGAAUAACAACACUAGCGCUGUCCAAUUAUUCUUGAAUUCUCCAGAUGCUGAUCCAAACCUAGCGUCAAAGGGUGGAUUCACUGCUUUGCAUAUAGCCUCCCAUUAUGGUAGCGAAGAUGUCGGACGCAUGCUUAUUGAGCGAGGAGCUAACCUCGAUUACAGAGCAAAGAACAAUAUUUGUCCACUACAUGUCGCAUCAAAGUGGAACAGAGCAGGCAUGGUUAAACUUUUACUUGAUAAUGGAGCGGAUAUUUCCAGCAGUACUAAGGACCUAUUAACCGCUCUGCAUUGCUCAUCCCGAUCCGGCCAUUCGUCCGUAGUAGAGCUCUUAUUAGAGUUUAAUGCACCUGUCGAUGCUAGAACUAGGAAUAAAUUAACACCCUUACACAUGGCUGCCCAAGGAAAUCAUUAUGAUACAGGUCGCUUGCUAAUUUUUAAAGGGGCACCCAUAGAGGAAGUUACUAUAGACUACUUAACUCCAUUGCAUGUGGCUUCUCAUUGUGGCAGUUAUGAGAUGGCAAAGCUACUAUUAGAUAGUAGAUGCGUUGUUGAUGCUCGAGCCAGGAAUGGUUUCACACCUCUUCAUAUCGCUUGUAAAAAGAAUAAACCAAGGAUUAUAGAACUUUUAUUAAAAUAUGGUUCGAUGAUUGAUAGCACCACUGAGACCGGAUUGACACCUUUGCACGUUGCCUCUUGGUCCGGACAUAACCAAAUUGUGUCAUACCUAAUUGAACAGAGAGCCAACCCGAAUCAGAAAACUAACCGGGGAGAAACCUGCUUGCACAUGGCCGUUAGAGGAAAACAAUUAGAAACGACUAAGCUGCUAAUUAAGAGUGGCGCUCAAGUGAACGCCACAGCUAAUGAAAACGAGACAGCCCUUCAUAUUGCCGCUAAGUUAGGCGAUCCAGAGAUGACAGAAUGUUUACUUUAUCAUGGAGCUGACGUAAACGCUGUUACAAAUGGUAACUACACUGCUCUACAUAUCGCUUCAAGAGAAGGAAACGAUCGCGUAGUUGAAGUUUUAUUGAAUAACAAGGCUGCUAUUAAUAGUUUUACAUCUCAAAAGUUUACUGCCUUGCAUUUGGCAGCUAAGAAAGGACAUACAGAUGUAGCAAAAAUACUCCUUAAAAAAGGAGCAAAGGUAGACGCCGUUGGAAAAAAUAACUUGACGCCACUCCAUGUAGCCGCCCAUUAUAAUAAAAUUGAUGUUGCUGUUUUAUUACUUGAACGUGGAGCAUCUCCAAAUUCUCAAGCUAAGAACGGUAUGACACCUCUUCAUAUCGCUGCUAAGAGGAAUGAAUUGGCGCUGGCAAAUAUACUUAUAAAUUACAAAGCAAACACCAAUGCUAAAACAAAGAACGGUUUCACCCCGCUGCACGAAGCUUCCCAGCAUGGACAUCGAGACAUGGCAGCUCUUUUAUUAGAAAAAGGUGCUGACGUUAAUUUCGCUAGCAACAAUGGACUUCGUCCUAUGCAUCUAUGUGCACAAGAAGAUCAUGUACCGGUGGCCGAAGUUCUUGUUAAAUAUCAUGCACAGAUAGAUCCUCAAACCAAAGCUGGAUAUACUCCUUUGCACACUGCUUGCCAUUUCGGACAGAUUAAUAUGAUUAAAUUUCUACUUGAUCAAAAAGCAAAUAUUCAUUCGACGACGAAGAUCGGUUAUACUCCGUUGCAUCAGGCAGCUCAACAAGGUCAUGUCCUUGUUAUUAACUACUUGCUUAAAUAUAGAGCAAACCCAGACUCAGUUUCGCAAACGGGACACACCCCACUUUCGAUAGCGCAAAAGUUAGGCUAUAUUUCAGUUAUAGAAGCUUUGAAAAGGCAGACGAGCGUUGUGGCAAAUCCCGACGACCAUUACUAUAAACACUAUCAGCCAGAGGAAAUGGCUGAAGAUGGUGAAAUGUCAGAUUCGGACGGCGAUGAAGAUGCUUUCGACACGGGAGUUAAACCACAUGAGAUGAGCUAUAUGUAUGGAACUAUGUCCCCAAUUCGGGGAGGAACACUUUCAGAGAGAUCCCAUCCUUCCUCCUUUUAUCAUGACGAUUCUAUUUACUCCCAUACGGAGCAUGACGAAGUUUUUCCACAGGAAGACCAUAUGGUUUCUGAUUUCCAACAAAUGGACUAUGCAGCAAUGAGCGAAUCUAGACUGAUGUCUAAUUCAUAUUCGCGAAUGUCUUUCAAUUCUAGUUUCGACCCCGAUAACGUUGUUACCAAACCACCAAACGUUUCUGGAUUUCUUAUUUCUUUUGUUGUCGAUGCUGUGGGGGGCGCAAUGACUGGAUGUCGUCAUUCAGGAAUUCGCAUUAUUAUACCUCCCGGGAGAGCAUGUUCACCAAUUAAAAUUAUAUGCAAAUUAAUCAAAAAAGAAAAACUGAAUUUUCCACCACCUUUGAUGGAAAAUGAAGGCCUGGCUAGCCGAAUUUUGGAAAUGAGUCCUAGUGGCUAUCAAUUUGCUGGAGAUGUUAUUAUCGAAAUUCCACACUUUGCUUCACUCAGACAAGGUGAGAGGGAAAUAGUCAUCUUAAGGAGUGAUGAUGGAGAGACCUGGAAAGAGCAUGGUGUAGAUACGACGGCUGAAGUAAUGGAAAAGAUAAUAGAAGGCAGUUUCGACGAGCUUGAAGCCGCUGAAAAAAUCUAUCAAAAACGAAUUAGCAGAAUUGUAACAACAAACUUUCCCAAAUAUUUCGCUCUAGUUUCGCGAAUUAAGCAAGACUCGAAAUUAGUUGGAGCAGAAGGAGCCGUUCUAAAAUCCCAUAGCAUACCACAAGUUCAAGUUGCUUUCCCUGCGGGUGCUCUUAAUAAACCGACCAAGCUAAAAUUACAAGUAUACGAGGCGCCAGAUGAUCUUGUUAACAAAAUUUUUGGUCAUGGUCAAUUUGCUUCGAGUCCCAUCGUUACAAUAGAACCACGUAGACGAAAGUUCCAUCAAUAUCUAACUGUAACUUUACCACUUCCUAAAGGACAAAGAGAUCCAUCUCCUUCAUUAAGAUUGUUAUGUAGUAUUGCAGGAGAUAUCCAACCAACCCAGUGGGAAGACAUAACAGACUCACAGCCCUUACAGUUUAGCCCCAACUCUGUUUCCUUUGAGUCUAAGGUUUCUGCUCGAUUUUGGCUUGUAGAUUGCAGAAACAGAGAUGCAGUUUUGGGUAAAGCAUCUGAACUAUACAAGCAAACACUUUCGGUGCCGUAUAUGGCUAAUUUCGUUAUAUUUGCUAAACCCAUGGAAGAUAAUGUGGGUCGAGUUAGAGUUUUCUGUGUGACUGAUGAUAAAAUGGAAAAAACGCUUGAAACCCAAGAAAAUUUCAAAGAAGUAGCUAAGUCGAGAGAUGUUGAAGUGGUAGAAGGUAGAACUUACCUUGAAUUCCAUGGAAAUCUUAACCCCGUGAUGAAGUCUGGUGAUCAACUUGGAUUGACUUUCAGUCCUUUCCGCGAGAAUCGGCUUCCUUUUGCUGUUUGCUUAAAAGAUAGAAAUCAACCAGCUUCCUCAUGCCUCACCUUUAUGAGCAAAUCACGAGCUGCAGCAAGAAGGGAAGCCCUCAAACCAGUAUGCACAUUAACUUUCGAAUUGCCUGGAGGUGUUUCCAAGCAAGUGCCCGAAAUUUCGAUUGAUGCUGCCCAAGAUGGAUUAGAUGAAAUAGAACCAUCUGAGUUAAAACUAACUAGCAUAGCCGAUCUCUUAUCAGAAGAUUGGGAAUCCUUAGCCCGAGAGCUAUCUGCUGAUGAUAAAGUUGAAACUAUUAAGGCCGAUUAUCAAUUUCCCAGUGAAAGAGCACUUGUUUUCCUUCAUUUAUGGUUUAACGGUUCGGAAUCUGAUCCGAAGAUUGAAGAUUUACGACAAGCCUUAAUUAACAUUGAAAGAAAGGAUAUUGUAGACAGCCAUUUUCCUACAACAACCGUUCAACGCAGUAAGAUCACUUUUUAUAUUUUUAUUUUUUAAUCAAAACAGUUUGAGUGCAUGCCAAGGGUUAAGGAGCAGGUGUAGACUUUUUCAUCAUUUCUUUCCUUGAACUUAAUUAGGGGUGGAAUCACUAAACUCUGUUCAAGAAGAGGAAAUAUCACAUGCUGGCGAUUCAGCAGUGACAGAAGCUGCAGUCUUCGAUCCAGAAAUUGAGAAAAAGAAAGAAGAAGCCAGAGACAUACUUGCUAGUUUUAUGACUGAUGUAGAGCUUGACUUGGGGAAUGAGGCAUUUUCAGGUAGAAGCUAUGGUUUGACCCAUGAUUCCCAUAUCACCCAUGUUGUUUUAUUUUUAUUUAGUCUACCAUUGAUUAAUUUUUUGAAUUCCUUCACCUUUGCAUGUACCACCUACAAAUUAUUUUUUGUAAACUGUAAAUUUUUUACCUUUCUUUCCCAAUCAAUCUCCCUUCUACUUCUUUAUCUCUCUCUGUUCUAUCUAUUUAUCUCUCUCUUUCUCUCUCUUUCUCUUUCACUCACUCUUUCAGCACUCCAGCUCCGGGAUGCUAGAAAAAAUUUUCUGUAACAAUUUAUUUUUUUAAAAAAAAACAAUAUAUAUACAGGCGCCAUCACUGGAGAACAAACAGCGUCAUCUGUUGUAGAAUUCUGUCAAGAGAAAAAAGUUCCAACCUCUGAAAGCAUGGAUGAUAGGGUUUCAAUGUCUAGUAAUGAUGAAGAAAUAUUUAAACCUACUUCAGGUAGUUUCACUCACUCCGCUUCGAAAUCUCACUCUAUGAAUAUAAACUGACUGUUCACUUUUCAAUUUGCUUCACUAUCGCUAACUUUAGUUUAAUCUAUAAAAACGAUUUAGAUGACCAAUGGGAAGUAUCAGAGGAAUGGGACGGAUUUAAGUGGAUCGUUAUUGAUAAGGUUUUACGAGAAUCAGGUAGAAAGAUUUAAUAAAGGAAAUUGAGAUGGGAGGGGUACGGCGAUAAGAUAUGACUUUCUAUUUAUAGUUUUUUUUAUUCGUUAAGGCUUGUUAGCAUGCUCUUUUCAUGUUUUUCCUUAAUUGUAUUUAUCAAGAAAUACUAUAAAUAGGUUUAAUCUUCUAUUUUUACAUCUUUUAGGAGAGGAAAUUGUUUCUGAAGCAAAACAGAAGGCUGACCAUGCUUCUCCUUUCGAUGUUAGAGAUGAUUCCCAAAAUAUUACAGAUAGCAUUAGAGUCUACACUGAAACCAUUGAGGGCGAACCACGAGUGGAAGAGCAUAUAGAAGAAUUUGAUGAAACCCUACCGGAUGGUCGAGUUAUUAAACGACGAGUAGUAACUCAAAAACAAGAAAAAUUAGUUACCACUCACAUCCUACUAGAUGGCCCCGAGUCCGAUUUGCCUGAAAUUGUAGAAUCCUAUGAAGAUGAGUGGUCGAGUGAUCAAAAUCCUGAAGUAACUGUAAAUGUUGAACAUCUCCCAGAUGGUGUAACAGUUGAAAGAAGAGUUGAAAAAACUGUUUCUAGAAGCGCUAGGAGGACUGUCCUUGACCAUUUACCGAAAGAUGAAGGUGUCGAAUACGAUAACGAAGAGGAAAUGGAUCAUGCUACAGUCGUUUUGAGGCGAGAUGUAACAAAGCAAGUUAGGGAUGGUGAAACGAUAGUACAAGAAGACGUGAAUGUAAUACAAGAAAGCGAAUUACCCGAUGAAUGUUCCCAACAAAUUGAAAACGUUAUAACCGAAUUCACUAAGAAGAGAGAUACUAAUUAGAACACGUGCAUACAUUUUUAUAUUUUGACAAAUUUUUUUUUCUUUUAGACUUGGCUUGAAAAGAAACGCUUUAUCUAUAUUAUUUUACUUUUAAAAGUUGACAAUGUGCUGCAAAGUAACAAAAAAACUGUACGUAGUUGAGAAAAAGAAUACAAAUUUAGUACUAGAUGGCGCUAUGAACGCAUCGACAAUCAGCAAUUGUUAUUCAAAUGGGGGCAUUUGUCGGGAUACGCAGCUAAUGAAGUACAUUAGAGCGGUAGCACUUAUUGGGCGUUUAAGCGUCGGCAGUGGUUUGGACUUCGGCAUUUAGUUUCUAAGUGUAUUCAUAGAUAGUUUAUUGUAUCUAUCUCAAUUGCGCAUGUUUGCUACAAACUUAUAACCACUGACAUUAGAGAUGCGACUAUUGUCGAUAUAACCGAGAGUCCCAAAGUAGUAAAGUAUCUAUUUAGGCCUAAACCCGGCAGCGAACACAGACGAAAAUUUCCUGCGCGUACUGCAAACUGCAAACUGCGCCACAAGCUGCAUUCAUUCAUCGUUGCCCUGGAUCGCGAGCCACACACACUCUCUAUCUCUCUCUCUGUCUGUCUCUCUCUCUCUCUCUCUAUCUCU